Molecule: long non-coding RNA, 797 nt
Filed under: Salvator merianae (Argentine black and white tegu)
Lineage: Eukaryota; Metazoa; Chordata; Lepidosauria; Squamata; Teiidae
Description: lncRNA (ENSSMRG00000016385.1)
Source: RNAcentral
CUAACAAAAGGCAGUCCUAUAUGGGGAACUUGCCUCCUGAACGUCUUCUCUUCUCUCGAGGUGUGGUGAUGAAGGUGUCAAGAGAUUGACUUCUGGAUUAGAAGGGAAUAGGAAGCUUUUCACUUUGAGCCUCUGCUACUGUGAUUUAGGACCUGCAAGUGGACCAACAUUAGCAACUCUUGUGGUCCAAACUGCCAUUUGCAAAUAAAGAUGCAGAUAGACCUUCAAAAACUGUCGAUUUGAAUACUACUUCCAAGACAAAUAGUUCUACUAUCCUGGGAAGCUCUGGGAAGAAAAAGAAAAGAAAAGGCUUAAAGAAAAAAAGUAUGAAACUGGACUCUGGCCCAUGGUUAGCUAGACUGCAUUUGACAGAUAAUGCCAUAGAUGGGAGGCUUAACCAAACAGGAAAAGGCAUCUCAGAGUUCAUUGAACUUUUGACAUGUUUAAUCAGGAACUCCGACCACCUUGUGGAAGUUGAUAUGGAUGGCAAUUCUAUAGAAGAACAAUAUGCUGUCAAGAUUCUAGAAGCUCUUACUGAUCGAAAGAAAGAAGCAAUGCCGCGCUUAAAAAUUAAGGUAACUCCCCAGAUUUCAUCGGUAACCUUCAGGAAAAUUUUUGGGAGAUGCUCAAAAAUCAAUUCAACUAAAAAGAGAAAGAAAAAGAAAACCAAGUGAUGGUUAAGUCUGCAUUUACUUUCUGAAGAAAUUAUGUCCAAAAAUUUAAUAUAUUCUAACAAUUCUUUGCAUGACAUUCUAAUUUUAUAAAUACUAAUAAAAUUUCCAACAGGUUUCUUGUCA